Molecule: ribosomal RNA, 447 nt
Filed under: uncultured Rhodococcus sp.
Lineage: Bacteria; Bacillati; Actinomycetota; Actinomycetes; Mycobacteriales; Nocardiaceae
Description: bacterial SSU rRNA
Rfam family: Bacterial small subunit ribosomal RNA
Source: RNAcentral
UUCCUACGGGGGGCAGCAGUGGGGAAUAUUGCACAAUGGGCGAAAGCCUGAUGCAGCGACGCCGCGUGAGGGAUGACGGCCUUCGGGUUGUAAACCUCUUUCAGCAGGGACGAAGCGCAGGUGACGGUACCUGCAGAAGAAGCACCGGCCAACUACGUGCCAGCAGCCGCGGUAAUACGUAGGGUGCGAGCGUUGUCCGGAAUUACUGGGCGUAAAGAGCUCGUAGGCGGUUUGUCGCGUCGUCUGUGAAAACCCGCAGCUCAACUGCGGGCUUGCAGGCGAUACGGGCAGACUUGAGUACUGCAGGGGAGACUGGAAUUCCUGGUGUAGCGGUGAAAUGCGCAGAUAUCAGGAGGAACACCGGUGGCGAAGGCGGGUCUCUGGGCAGUAACUGACGCUGAGGAGCGAAAGCGUGGGUAGCGAACAGGAUUAGAUACCCGAGUAGUC